This 224-nucleotide ribosomal RNA is filed under the name uncultured bacterium. RNAcentral's name for it is "partial 16S ribosomal RNA". It matches the Rfam family "Bacterial small subunit ribosomal RNA", at positions 15 to 231 of the family's 1533-position model. The record is from RNAcentral.
GAUCCUUGGCUCAGGAUGAACGCUAGCUACAGGCUUAACACAUGCAAGUCGAGGAGCAGCAUGACGAUAGCUUGCUAUUGUUGAUGGCGACCGGCGCACGGGUGAGUAACGCGUAUCCAACCUGCCCUUGUCCAUCGGAUAACCCGUCGAAAGGCGGCCUAACACGAUAUGCAGUUCUCAGCAGGCAUCUAACGAGAACGAAAUGUGAAGGAGAAGGAUGGGGA